CCUACGGGUGGCAGCAGUGAGGAAUAUUGGUCAAUGGGCGAGAGCCUGAACCAGCCAAGUCGCGUGAGGGAGUACUGCCCUAUGGGUUGUAAACCUCUUUUGUCGGGGAGCAAAAGCCGGACGUGUCCGGCUGUGAGAGUACCCGAAGAAAAAGCAUCGGCUAACUCCGUGCCAGCAGCCGCGGUACUACGGAGGAUGCGAGCGUUAUCCGGAUUUAUUGGGUUUAAAGGGUGCGCAGGCGGAUUUUUAAGUCAGCGGUAAAAUCGUGGGGCUCAACCCCAUCCAGCCGUUGAAACUGGGGAUCUAGAGUGUGCGAGAGGUAUGCGGAAUGCGUGGUGUAGCGGUGAAAUGCAUAGAUAUCACGCAGAACCCCGAUUGCGAAGGCAGCAUACCGGUGCACAACUGACGCUCAGGCACGAAAGCGUGGGUAUCGAACAGGAUUAGAUACCCGUGUAGUC
RNAcentral lists this ribosomal RNA (458 nucleotides) under uncultured bacterium. RNAcentral's name for it is "partial 16S ribosomal RNA". It matches the Rfam family "Bacterial small subunit ribosomal RNA", at positions 338 to 795 of the family's 1533-position model. The record is from RNAcentral.